ACCGGGAAAGGGCCCAGCCCCGCUGGGAAGGGGUCCCAGCGGCCCGGCAGGACGGGGCCCAGUGGACUCCCUGGUGAGGGGCUCGGCAGCCUGCUCAGCACCCCUCAGGGGAGAAAAUCUCAGCUGGGCUGCAUGGGGAACGCCUGGUCUGGCCACGCAGGCCCAGUCCGACUGGCACCCAGUGACAUCUUCAAAGCUGGAAGCCAAGAGAGAGAUUUCCAGGGCUUGCCUGUGUUUAAAAUGUGAAUCUCACAGAGGCGGACACAGCUUCUAAAAUAUUCAAUAGCACGUCAAUUCCCAGAGCUAGCCAGCUAUUGGAUUUUGCUAAGCACAGAGGAAGCUCUUAGCAGCCCCUCCCAAAAAAAUCAUCUCCAUAGGUGGCUUCUUCUCUUUCACCAAAUAUCAAUAAAUGCAAAAUCAGCACAACAGUAAAAGGAAACGAAAUAUAGGAUGUUGGGUUAUUGUCAGACAACCAGAUUUAUCUCCACUUGGUGUGAAAAGACUCUUGUAUGAAGCAGAAAUACAGGGGUCCAUCCAACGCAAGAGUGGAAAAGAAUGAAAGGAGCUUUUCACCACUGGACAGAUGGAUGUGGACAGAAGAAAAUGGAUAUGGACAGAAAUGUGGACAGAAGACUUAUGAUAAUGUCACCCUCUCACAGAAGGAAGCUGGUGUUUACUGCACUACCUUCAUAGCCUGUCCAAAGGGAGUGCUAUUAUUAUGCAGUACAAGAGAACUAGCCACUUCUAAAGAAAAACUGAAGUAUUUUCCAGGAGAAAGUAAAUCAUAUAGAGGUAAGAACAGUCAGGAAUAACUAUCUGCCUGUGAAAUAAUAACCAUGUACAUUACUGUUUUCAGUAAUUUUAUCUUUUCCUCUCUGUUUUAAAAAUUUAGAAAUGUUGAAGUUAUACAAAUUUUGAAUUUCUAUUUUUUUUUGUCACCUAAUUAAAAUAUUCUUAGACUAUAGAAUUUUCUUAUGGUGAGGAGCCUUGAACUACAACUGUAAUUAUUAAAGUUUAAUCAGCAGAUCCUUUUGAAUAUGCAAAGUAUCAAAAGUCCAGGGUAAAACUGAGACUAUAUAAACUUUGACCAAUAUUUGGUAAGGGCAAAAAAUAACAUUAUCUGUGCCUUUAGCAGAGAACAUCCAGCUUCCUGCUCCAUAUAUGAGAUUUUUUCCUAGUAAUAACAUGGGUCUAGAUAUAUAAAAUUAAAUCAAUUAUCAACUUUCUGGAACACAAAAUUAAAAAGUGAUCACUCAAAACAUUAUCUAAGCUUUGUACCAUUUCAGUUGACUCUGAAUUCCACUAUUAGUGCCACCUACUGCUCAAAUGCUGGAUUUAAUGACUAUAUCCAAAAAGUCUGUGGUAUGUGCAUCAGUUUCCAUAGUUCAUAAUAGAUUUAGUACACCACUUUCUUUAAUGAAAUAUGACCAUUUCUUUCACUUGUUUUAAGGAGAUGGUAAAUCAUGAGAGUAAUCAAUAUGCUUGAGAUAAUUACAAAAAUGUGGGGGAAAAAAAUUUAGUUAAAAAGUAAGAAUAAUUUACCAUAAUCCAAAUUAAUAAUAUAAAUCUUUUAAAUGCUGUGCUGGUGGUAUUUCAAAAUAUGAACACUAGCACUUGAUGACAGGUCUAUCAUCAUUAUUUAAGAUUUGAUCAAUACAUUUUUGAAAUAUAUAGAUAUUUGUUAAUGAAGUGAAAAAACACCAGAAAACAGAAGUCCUAAAAGAUAAAACCUUCAAAAUCCUUGAUUUUUAAUUAUUAGAACAGUCAAUUUAUUUUUAAACUUAGCUUAUUAUUUCAAAUAUUUAUAUUUAC
This is a long non-coding RNA of Cyanistes caeruleus (blue tit), 1812 nucleotides long. Lineage: Eukaryota; Metazoa; Chordata; Aves; Passeriformes; Paridae. The record is from Ensembl.